Molecule: long non-coding RNA, 2860 nt
Filed under: Xyrichtys novacula (pearly razorfish)
Lineage: Eukaryota; Metazoa; Chordata; Actinopteri; Labriformes; Labridae
Source: RNAcentral
GGGCUAGAAAUUGGAGAAAAAUGUAAUAGAAUAUUUGAUUGGUGAGCAAGACACUGGGAACGCAGCCACAGUAAUGUGUCCUGGCUUAGCUGGAAGGGCACACUCCUUCCCUCAGCACCCUCUCCCCUUCCUCUUCUUCCUUCUUCUCAUCUUUGGUCAGCAGAAGGUUUUUAUUUGAUAUUUUUUGAUGUACAGUGGUGCCAGGCGAGAGUCUGGAGACCUUGCAGUUAUGCCUCUUGGUUGCUGUGAGUGGUAUGAAAAAAUACAAACAAGAUGACAAAUGAGUUCCUAGAGUAUACGGUUCAGAUAGAGAAAGUUGAAGCUGUCAGAGAAGGAAUUGAUGGCUAUGACUUGACUGGGGAGAGGAAUCUUCAAAUACACUGCCCACUGAGCAAGAGACGGCUAUUAGACGACUAUUUUUUUUAGACCUAAUUUCAACUGUCUAGAUCCUGUAUAUUUUUAGAGGGAAUUUGGACGUUGCACUUUAACCCAUUAUUCGAUAACUACUUUUUUCAAAAAGCAACUCUAAGCAGCAUAACUGAUCUCCAAGUACUUAACCAAAAUUAUUAUGAUAGAUGUCGAGCAAUAUACAGCGUAGUUUAGAUAUGGCCCAGAUUUAGACUUGGUCAAAAUUUAGACAUCUAAAAAACGACCUGUGGUAGCCUGAUUUUAGACCAGUCGUCUAGGCUACAUUUAGACGUCUAUUAGACCUCUUUUAGACCAAAAAAAUGCUUAGUGGGUGACAUCAGGUUUUGUAAUACUAUUUUAAAAUUAUCAUUAUUGUGGGGACUUCGACUCCCCACAAUGGCGAUAAUUCUCAACUGCAAAAGAAACUCCAGGGAAAAUCCUGAUAACCAAGGUCAUUUCAAAUCAGUCUGCUGACAGGGGCCUAGCAAAUAUCAAAUCUCACUGUCAACAAUGUGGCAAAAAAAAAAGGUAGUAUCUAUUAGUAUUGUGGUUUUGGAAAACCUUUAAACACACAUACAGUAUAUAUCAAAUUAUAUUAAUCCAGUUUAAGCAGGUAAUUCCCAUAAUACCUUCAGGUGUGAAUGGUCUUUUCUGUACUGUUUUUGUGCUUAAGAAUCAAAGCAAAAGAGAUUCAGAAGACUGAAAGAAGAAAAAAAAAACAUAAGUUCAGUCUACAGAAGGACGAAAAAUGUCUCAAUGAAAGCAUCCAUAAAACAUAUUGUCUGGUUUCUUCUUCUGAGACAGGUGCCCAAAAAGCCAUCCAUCAGCAGGGACAGAAGCAGCCAAUCAUGCCGGCUCAAAUCAGCCAGACGUUUAGCCUCGCUCCCAGGUGGGCGGGCGGUAAUUGCCAGGCGCAACUUUGCCCACCUGGCCAGCUGCCACUGGGACACAAAGAGGCGGGAGGAAGUCAGACACAAGGGAAGGGUGGAUGGGAACGAGGAAUAUUUUCAGGAAACAGACGGUUCGGGACUGGCACAGAGAAGUGAGGCAUUGCACACCUGAUGACUCAUCUGAGAUAUGUGGUACAACGAUUCUAUUUCCAUUGUUAAGUUGCUGUCAUGUCUUUGCUCAUGCUGUGCUCGGAUGGCGGUGUUUUCCCCCAGUAAACACCGCUGUUUUUCAGCUUUGCCAUCCCGAGCCUCUGUGGUGCUUGUCGUUAUGCUGCCUCAGCAGCGCACUGCCCUGAAGAGAAGAGCAAUCAUGCUGGUGGAGAAUUUUAAAUUUCACACCCAUACUGUGGGAGGGAAUGGGACAUGGGGGGCUUUGGACAAGGUGCUAAUUGAGGAGGCGAUACACCACCUGUGUGUGCUCCAAGGCAAGUAUUCGUCCAAAUAGCUGAUGCAGGAGCUUCAAACCGAGCUGCGAAGAGCGGCGCUUGCUCACUGCUCCUUCACUCAUACAAAUGCUGAGGAUGCUUUUCUGAAUGGGACCCCAGAUAUACUUCAAAAUCCGUCUUAAUUGCUAUUGAAUGUGGAAAACAACAGGCUUAUUGUUUUUCAUGUCUGUGUGGGUGUAAUACACCACAGUCUUCCAAAGGCAUAAUUGUCCUUCAUAGCAGGGAAUCCACGCUUAGAUUUUCCACAGUUUAAAAACACAGAGCAAUUCAGGCACCAUGGGAGCUGAGAUCUGCCAGUGGUUGUGGCGUUGGAUGGCAGAAGGCCUGAUUCAGACGUCCUUCUGGUGAUUGGGGCUGUCAGAUAGGCUGGUCGAGGGAAAUUGGUGCAAAGCUGAAGACUGCUAUCCCAGUCAUCAAUCACCUGCCUGUAGCUGAAGUGUGAGCCAAUCGGCCCAGGCCUCAGGCCCCCUGGAUUCAUCAGAGGGGACAAGACCUGACAUCCAGAAAAAUGAGCUCAACCCUGUCCACAUCAAGACGAAUCGGAGCCCAGUGUCAUCAACUCACACCGCAUGAGUUCAAAAGGGGCAAAAGAGAAUAAUGUAAAGACCUUUUCUCUAUUUUUGCGAAGAUUAUGACACUUGAUCCCACAUGAGCACAUCUUCUUGCAAGGAACUGAGCAAAUGUGUGUGAAUGUACACGUCUCUCGCUCCCUCUCCUCUCACACUCUGAUCCAGGGUUGGGGCACUGAAGGGGAGAAUCAUCAGGCUGAAAAUGAUUAAUACCCCCUUUUUUGUCCCUUCUGGCAUCUGCAGCACAUCUGCCCCUCUGGGACCAGGACAGAGAUGGUUCCCGCUUUAGGAAUUAAGCUGCCCUUCACCCUCUCUCCAGAGGUUGUAGGUGUGGGAAUCUCCCCUGCAACCCUCUCCUGAAAAACCCUCCAGGGUAGCAGAGUCUGGGCCCACCUCAGAGCCCAGCACAUUAAGCAGAGGCGAUAUUUAUGAUGUGGAAAUGGCCUGCUAUUUAUUCAGUACACAGAGGAUUCAUAGUCCCUCAAAC